RNAcentral lists this ribosomal RNA (819 nucleotides) under Triticum aestivum (bread wheat). RNAcentral's name for it is "partial small subunit ribosomal RNA". Lineage: Eukaryota; Viridiplantae; Streptophyta; Magnoliopsida; Poales; Poaceae. The record is from RNAcentral.
AUGGUGGUUAGUCCGGUGCCGCCGCUCCGCCAUGACUUCUUGGCCAUUGCAGAGGUGAACCGCUUUGUCCCUUUCCAUCAGAAAGCUCUGCUUCGCCACACCAUCGAAGGUUUGCUCCAUGAGUCCAACUUUUUCCCCACUGAAGUUGACGAUUAUCCACUAGGGAUUGGUAUCUUUGGUUUCGUGGAUUCGGUUGUGAGAGAUGUUGUAGUGGGCACGACAUUUGAGCUAGAUGAGGAUGAUGAUAACCAAGGCACCAUUGUUUCUUUUGUUCCUCACGAUGCUACUAUCAAUAUGCGCCAAACUAGCUUUGGGCCUCAAGUGUGGUUGCUUUAUAUUGGUUUUCCGCAUGAUUAUCAGACAUCUCAUUACAUUCAUAAGUCCGUGGACAAGUUUGGUGAGCUUAUAACUUGGAAUAAUCCUAGAGGAGACAGGAAGUUUGUUCUGAUCAAAGCUCGUGUUCUUAGUUUGUGUCGGGUCCCCAAAAGCUUCGUUAUGCAUCAGCUGGGUGGAGAGCGCCAUUGCUGGAUGGUCUGUGUCACAAUCUUGCGCAGCAGUGAUUGGAACGCACAUAUCCCGGAUGUGCCGCCAGCGGACAUGGAUCCACCUCCUGCUGAUGGAAUCCCCCACCCCCUGUUCGGACAAGGCCUCACUGCGGAGCAGAUGUACCAAGCACAGCUGCACAAUUGGCUUGCUCAGAAUGCUGCGCCAAACCAAGCUGACGCUGCUCCGCACCACAAUGAUGCGCAAGGACAUGAUGUUCACUUCCCUGCGGGUUGGGGGUGCAUGGCCACCGUCUCCACCGCCUGCGCUGUAUAA